This 532-nucleotide ribosomal RNA is filed under the name uncultured bacterium. RNAcentral describes it as "partial 16S ribosomal RNA". It matches the Rfam family "Bacterial small subunit ribosomal RNA", at positions 35 to 539 of the family's 1533-position model. The record is from RNAcentral.
AGUGAACGCUGGCGGUAGGCCUAACACAUGCAAGUCGAACGGCAGCACAGUAAGAGCUUGCUCUUACGGGUGGCGAGUGGCGGACGGGUGAGGAAUACAUCGGAAUCUACUUUUUCGUGGGGGAUAACGUAGGGAAACUUACGCUAAUACCGCAUACGACCUACGGGCGAAAGCAGGGGAUCUUCGGACCUUGCGCGAUUGAAUGAGCCGAUGUCGGAUUAGCUAGUUGGCGGGGUAAAGGCCCACCAAGGCGACGAUCCGUAGCUGGUCUGAGAGGAUGAUCAGCAAUACAGGAAAGGAGCAUACGGCCAGGCUCGUGAGGGAGGAAGAGGUGGUGAUUAGUGGACAAGGGGGGCCAGACGCAGCGACCGAGGCCGUGUCGGUGAGGUAGUCUGUAGGGUUAUAAACACCUUUUGUUGGGAAAGAAAAGAAGCACGUUAACACCCUGCUGGUCUGACGCUAACAAAAGAAGAAGCACCGGCUAAUGUCGUGCCAGCAGCCGCGGUAACAAUCGCACGAGCACACCCUGAAC